GCAUCUAAUGGCUGCAAUCAACAUUCAUUGCUGUCGGUGGGUUUUAGUUUGUAUCAACUCACUGAUCAAUGAAUGCAAACUGCGGACCAG
MicroRNA precursor from Chelydra serpentina (North American snapping turtle), 90 nucleotides. NCBI's taxonomy places the organism in Eukaryota, Metazoa, Chordata, Testudines, Chelydridae. The record is from Ensembl.